Molecule: ribosomal RNA, 446 nt
Filed under: Boophis quasiboehmei
Lineage: Eukaryota; Metazoa; Chordata; Amphibia; Anura; Mantellidae
Description: partial 16S ribosomal RNA
Rfam family: Bacterial large subunit ribosomal RNA
Source: RNAcentral
AUCAACGGCAUCACGAGGAUCCUACUGUCUCCCCCCUCUAAUCAGUGAAACUGAUCUCCCCGUGAAGAAGCGGGGAUAUACAUAUAAGACGAGAAGACCCCAUGGAGCUUUAAACCUGACAGCACCCGCUCAUUCUAUACCCCAUUAUUUGCCCGACCCCUGUCUGCUCAGUUUUAGGUUGGGGUGACCACGGAGUAUAAAAUAACCUCCAUGAAGAAGGGGAUAUUUCCCUUAUUAGAGAACCACACUUCCAAGAACUAAUAAAUUAAUUUUCAAUGACCCGAUACCCGAUAAUCGAUCAACGAACCAAGUUACCCUGGGGAUAACAGCGCAAUCCACCCUGAAAGCCCUUAUUAACAGGUGGGUUUACGACCUCGAUGUUGGAUCAGGGUAUCCCAGUGGUGCAGCAGCUACUGAGGGUUCGUUUGUUCAACGAUUAAAACCCU